UACGUAGGUGGCAAGCGUUAUCUGGAAUUAUUGGGCGUAAAGAGCGCGCAGGUGGUUAAUUAAGUCUGAUGUGAAAGCCCACGGCUUAACCGUGGAGGGUCAUUGGAAACUGGUUGACUCGAGUGCAGAAGAGGGAAGUGGAAUUCCAUGUGUAGCGGUGAAAUGCGUAGAGAUAUGGAGGAACACCAGUGGCGAAGGCGGCUUCCUGGUCUGUAACUGACACUGAGGCGCGAAAGCGUGGGGAGCAAACAGG
RNAcentral lists this ribosomal RNA (253 nucleotides) under uncultured bacterium. RNAcentral describes it as "partial 16S ribosomal RNA". It matches the Rfam family "Bacterial small subunit ribosomal RNA", at positions 524 to 776 of the family's 1533-position model. The record is from RNAcentral.